This 468-nucleotide ribosomal RNA is filed under the name uncultured bacterium. Its description in RNAcentral is "partial 16S ribosomal RNA". It matches the Rfam family "Bacterial small subunit ribosomal RNA", at positions 28 to 507 of the family's 1533-position model. The record is from RNAcentral.
GACGAACGCUGGCGGCGUGCUUAACACAUGCAAGUCGAACGGAAAGGCCCUGCUUUUGUGGGGUGCUCGAGUGGCGAACGGGUGAGUAACACGUGAGUAACCUGCCCUUGACUUUGGGAUAACUUCAGGAAACUGGGGCUAAUACCGGAUAGGAGCUCCUGCUGCAUGGUGGGGGUUGGAAAGUUUCGGCGGUUGGGGAUGGACUCGCGGCUUAUCAGCUUGUUGGUGGGGUAGUGGUUUACCAAGGCUUUGACGGGUAGCCGGCCUGAGAGGGUGACCGGCCACAUUGGGACUGAGAUACGGCCCAGACUCCUACGGGAGGCAGCGGUGGGGAAUAUUGCACAAUGGGCGGAAGCCUGAUGCGGCAACGCCGCGUGCGGGAUGACGGCCUUCGGGUUGUAAACCGCUUUCGCCUGUGACGAAGCGUGAGUGACGGUAAUGGGUAAAGAAGCACCGGCUAACUACGUG